This 481-nucleotide ribosomal RNA is filed under the name uncultured bacterium. RNAcentral describes it as "partial 16S ribosomal RNA". It matches the Rfam family "Bacterial small subunit ribosomal RNA", at positions 28 to 507 of the family's 1533-position model. The record is from RNAcentral.
GAUGAACGCUGGCGGCGUGCCUAACACAUGCAAGUCGAACGGAGAUUACGGACGGAAGUUUUCGGAUGGAAGCCUGUAAUUCUUAGUGGCGGACGGGUGAGUAACGCGUGGGCAACCUGCCCUAUACAGGGGGAUAGCAGCUGGAAACGGCUGGUAAGACCGCAUAAGUCGGCGAGACCGCAUGGUUUUGCCGGGAAAUGAGCAAUCAGGUAUAGGAUGGGCCCGCGUCCGAUUAGCCAGUUGGCAGGGUAAAAGCCUACCAAAGCAACGAUCGGUAGCCGGACUGAGAGGUCGGACGGCCACAUUGGGACUGAGACACGGCCCAAACUCCUACGGGAGGCAGCAGUGGGGGAUAUUGCACAAUGGAGGAAACUCUGAUGCAGCGACGCCGCGUGAGUGAAGAAGUAUUUCGGUAUGUAAAGCUCUAUCAGCAGGGAAGAUGAUGACGGUACCUGACUAAGAAGCCCCGGCUAACUACGUG